This 254-nucleotide ribosomal RNA is filed under the name uncultured bacterium. RNAcentral describes it as "partial 16S ribosomal RNA". It matches the Rfam family "Bacterial small subunit ribosomal RNA", at positions 524 to 777 of the family's 1533-position model. The record is from RNAcentral.
UACGAAGGGGGCUAGCGUUGCUCGGAAUCACUGGGCGUAAAGGGUGCGUAGGCGGGUUUUUAAGUCAGAGGUGAAAUCCUGGAGCUCAACUCCAGAACUGCCUUUGAUACUGAAAGUCUUGAGUAUGGGAGAGGUGAGUGGAACUGCGAGUGUAGAGGUGAAAUUCGUAGAUAUUCGCAAGAACACCAGUGGCGAAGGCGGCUCACUGGCCCAUUACUGACGCUGAGGCACGAAAGCGUGGGGAGCAAACAGGG